GGAGGAGCCUGAGGUCUUCGACCAGAACUACUCAGCGGCAGCUUCCUUCGAAGACGUGGGGGAGCCCGCGAUCGACCGCGACGGAGCUGUUCAACCACCAGGCGGACCGCUCCCCCCGCCGCGGCGCCGGCCCUGCUGGACAAUGUCCUCCUCAAGCUGCUGGCCGGGGCCGGGGCUUCCGAGACGGGCCCCACACGGACACACCGGCGAACACCCUGUAUGAGUACGCGCAGCUCCCGCCGCCUCCGCACUCCCUCCCCCCUCCUCCGCCUCCGCUCCCCCCCNNNNNNNNNNNNNNNNNNNNNNNNNNNNNNNNNNNNNNNNNNNNNNNNNNNNNNNNNNNNNCCCCCCCCCCCGCCUCCGCUCUCCCCCCUCCUCCACCUCCGCUCUCCCCACUCCACCGCCUCCUGCUUCUUUGGCUUCUUGUUUUAAUGGCAAAUUGUUUUAGGCAGCGCUUGCUGUGAACAGUUCUACCUAAAGGGCUCCCUCCUGCCUCAUAUCCUACCUUUUGCAGGGGCCCUAAAGGACAUGUCCUCGUCCUCAGCUUGCUCUUUGGAAUGGCUUUCCUGUCCAGCUCUGUUUCCAUCUUGACGGUCAAAGAGAGGCGCCUCCAGCAGGUCCGGUUCAUCGGUGGCCUGUACGUGGCUACAUUCUGGCUCUCCGCGCUGCUGUGGGACCUCCUGUCCUUCCUCGUCGCCACUCUGCUGCUGCUGAUGAGCCGCGUGGUGCUGGGGCCCUUCCCCUACACCGCACGGGGUGGGCGGUGGGGGGGGGGCUGGCCCUGGGCCCCCGCAAAGAAGCAGAACUCAAGCUGAAGCCUGGCCGGCAGCUCCGUCCCCUAUUGGCAGCCGAUGUGAAAGCACCUUUAUUGCUCCAGCAUCAGGAGGCUCAGAGGGGCCUGCUUUAGGGUCUCUUAGCUGUGGCUUCCCCAGAACUGCUGUGACAAGCUGGUAAAAGACAGUGCCCUGGGGACACGGGUUUCUAGUCCAGAAAUCGCUCCCAGGGACCUGAGGGGGCAAGUCUUGGGUGGUGACUGAGCUGUGGGGCUCCAGGGUCCCUGCUUCAUUUGCGAAGAACAGGUCACACACGUCCUCCUUUUUCCCGCCUGUGUGUUUUGUAGACGUCUCUGAGCCCCUGACCUCCCUGCACUGGCUGCCAGGGGCAGAGCCAGCUAUCUCUGCACUGCUGGACAAGCAAGUGGAGGGAGCUGCCUGUGGAGUACUGCUAACACAUUAUUUAACUGAUUUUAUUUUAUUUUAUUUUUCUUUUUAGGGCCGCACCCAAGACAUACGAAAGUUCCCAGACUGGGAUCCAAUCAGAGCUACAGCUGCCGGCCUAUGCCAUGGCCACAGCAACGCUAGAUCCUUAACCCUCUGAGCGAGGCCAGAGCUCGAACCCGCAACCUCAUGGUUCCUGGUCGGAUUUGUUUCCACUGAGCCACAUUGGGAACUCCUACCUGAUUUUAAACUUAAAAUGAUCUUAUCCUUUCUCUAGUGCUUAAAACAGAUGUCUCCUAAUUCUGCCCCUCUCCCCCAAGGUGGUGUUUUUGUGCUACAAGGAAGAGGCAUUUAUACAGCAGGAAAGCGUCCCAGCUGUUACCUUGAUGCUAAUGCUUUGUGCCUGGGCUCCCAUCCCCUCCAUCUGCUUGAGCAGCUUCUGCUUCGACCACCCGGGGAGCACCUGUGCUGAGCUCAUUGUCACGCUCACCUUCUCUCUCGAGCACUGGCUCCCUUGUUCUCGUCACCGUCACAAGUGAAAAAGAUCUAGGCUACACGGUCGUCUCAGAGUCCUUGGACCACACGUUCCUACGGCUUCCAGGCCACUGCCUGGGCAUGGCUUUCUCCAACUUAUGUUAUAACUUUGAACUACGCAAGUUUUGCAGUGCCAAGAGCCUGAACCAGACUGAGUGCAGUCAAGUUUGUGAGUAUCACAGAUAGAAUUUGUUCAUUCCAUUUUUCAUUGAGCUGUAAUUCACCCUUUUAAGGUGUACAAUUCGCUGGGUUUGGGUAGAUCCCCAAGGUUGUCCAACCGCCGCCACCAUCUAAUUCCAGAAUGUCUUCAUCCCCCCCCAAAAGAAAUACUCUGUCCAUCAACAGUCACUCCCAAGUCCUUUUUCCCCAAAGCCCCUGACAACCAAUAAGCUCCUUCCUGUCUCUGUGGAUUAGCCCGUUCUGGACGGUUCGUGGACGUGGAAUCUGGCUGCCUCCGUCUGCGUUUUGACUUUUAGGAAUAACUCUGUUGUGGACAUUGACAUACGGGUUUUUGCGUGAAGCUAUUUUCAGCGCUCUCAGGUGUCCAGCUAGGAGUGGGUGCGCUGGUCUCACGGUGACUCGAUGUUUAGCUUUUUGAGGAAACACCAAACUAUUUACCACGGCGGCUGCCCCGUUUUGCAUUUUACCAGCCAUACGGGAGAGCCCCAGUUUGUCCACCUCCUUUCGAACAUCUUUUAAAAUUAGUUUUUUCCUUAAACUGCGGUAAAAUUUCUCUUACCAUUUUGACCACUUUAAAGCGUUCAGGAGUGCCUGUCGUGGCUCACCAGUGACAAUCCCAACUAGGAACCAUGAGGUUGCAGGUUCAAUCCCUGGCCUUGCUCCGUGGGUUAAGGAUCCGGCAUUGCCCUGAGCUGUGGUGUAGGUCAAAAAGACGCGGCUCGGAUCCCGCAUUACUGUGGCCGUGGUCCAGGCCGGCAGCUACAGCUCCCAUUGGACCCCUAGCCUGGCAACUUCCAUAUGCCAGGAGUGCGGCCCUUAAAAAAAGACAAAAAAAAGUGUACAGUUCGGUGGCAUUAGGUGGAUUCACACUGUCGCACACCCACCGCCACCAUCAUCUUGCAAGAUAGAAAGUGAACUGUGGCUGCCUCCCCAUGUCCCCACGCCAGCCCCAGGCAGCCAGCCCUCCUCUUCCUGUCGCCGAGUCUGACUGCUGCGGGCACCUCACACGAGUCGGGGUUGUACGAGGAAGUUACCUAAUGUGUGUAAAGCAUGAGGAGAAGCUUGGAAAGUCACCUAAAGUUGGAUGGCCCUUGUUUAUCCCGCUCUAGUAGAGGGGUACGUGGUCCGAGAGCAUCUACGCCUGCGAGCCCCUCGGGACGGGCCGGCGCCUGACCGCCCUCGCCCUCUCAGGACCUGUGUCCGCAUCCCGCUUCGCCUCCUUGAAACCAGUGGCCUGUGGGAACUGGAAGCCAGGUUCUGUGGCUUCCACAGGGAGCACACGUGGUGAGUGGGUCCAAGUGUAAGUCUCUGAGGACAGGUCAAGGGAAGCUGCACGGCUUCCUUCCUGCAGUCUGCAGGGGCCUGGAGACCUUCUAACCCAGCCUCAGGGCAGAGAGGGGACUGCUGUCCCCAGGACCCCGGGGACCCGAUGGGAGAAAGGCGAGGCGUGUGGGCCAGGUCAGCUGAGAAGAAACAAGACUCUAAGACAAAAAAAAAAAAAAAAAAA
RNAcentral lists this long non-coding RNA (3438 nucleotides) under Sus scrofa (pig). RNAcentral's name for it is "lncRNA (ENSSSCG00030044135.1)". Lineage: Eukaryota; Metazoa; Chordata; Mammalia; Artiodactyla; Suidae. The record is from RNAcentral.